CUCUUUCUAUUCGGACUGGAAUGCCGGGCCAGGCUCCGGGGCGCGCCGCUGCGGCAGCCGCACCUCGCAGGUCCCCCGGCCGACCCCGACGCGGAAGCGGCGGCCCUCCUCGCCGUCGGGGAGCCAGGGAGCCGGGGACGAUCAGUCACAUAAGGCUUAGAGGAUCAAGGAUCCUGCCCAGAUGACUUACCGAAAUGUUACAGAUUAAGUUGGUGUGGUAACCUGGGCUGAGCACUCUGGGAGAGGAAGAGAAGAGAGAAGACAGGAAACAACUGAACUAUGACCAAUCCCAGCACGGAGGCCCAGAAAACUUUAAGAUUUGAGUAUUAAUGUCUCAAGGUCAGGAGCAACCUCAAGGCUAAAACUCAGAUCUCAGGACUCAAUUUCACAGAAGUUCCACUAUAAAGGCAAUAAUCUAAAGCUUUAAAUGAUAUGAAAAUUUUGUAAUAAGAGUUCAGUAUUUCUGCCAACAUUGGCGCAUGGAUUGCAAAGUUCACAGGAUUGAAAACACCAUCGACAUAAUGGAAAUUGAACAGCAUCUGAUUACUGAGUGCUAUAUCAGCAAGUUAAAAGGAUCUUUUGCAUACCUUUUAAUGGUAUAUAUCCUAAAACUGAAGUGUUCAAUAUAGACAUCCAGAUUGAAACUCAGGCAGUGAAUUACAUACACAACAAAUCAGUUGAACAUGGCAGAGCUUGUCAGACUUAUGAAAGAUUAAAUACAUUUUACAUUUCCACAAGUGUGGUAUUCACAGGUCUAAAUUGGAAAAUUCUUGGGUUGAAGAAGAAUAAUCAUAAUCUUAGCUUCACUCAUUGAGGAAACAUUAUUCAGGGAUGAUAAGAGGUAAAAUCUUAAAAAUAUUGACAAGCUAAUGAGAGAACUUUGAGGUAAGCUGAUAUGCAGGUAUAGUUAGGACUGGGAAAAGCAAGAAAAUGGAAGGAUGGGUUAGAGGGUGGCACUACACGGCUGAUAUAGUUUGGAUAUCUGUCCCCAUCCAAAUCUCAUGUUAAAUUGGAAUCCCCAAUUCUGGAGGCAGAGCUAGAAGGCAGAGCCUGGUGGAAGGUGUUUGCAACAUGAGGAAGGAUCCCUCAUGGCUUGGUGCUGUCUUAACAAUAAUGAGUGAGUUCUCCCGAGAUCUAGUCAUUUAAAAGGGUGUGGCACCUCCCCCCCCCCCCGCCCCCGCCAACUCUCUCUUGCUCCUACUCUGCCAUAUGAAUGUUUGUUCCCCCUUUGCCUUCAGCCAUGAUUAGAAGCUUCAUUAGGACUCCUCAGAAGUAGAUGUUGGUGCCAUACUUCCUGUAUAGCCUGUAGUACCAUGAACCUCUUCGCUUUAUAAAUUACCUGGUCUUGGGGAUUUCUUUAUAGCAAUGCAAGAAUGACCUAAUACAGAAAACUGGUACUGAGAAGUGAGUCAUUGCUGUAGAGAUACCUGAAAAUGUGGAAGCAGCUUUGGAACUUGGUGACAGGCAGAAGUUGGAAGAGUUUGUAGGGCUCAGAAGAAGACAGAAAGAUGAGGGAAAGUUUGGAAUUUCUUAGGGACUGGUUAAAUGGUUGUGACCAAAAUGCUGAUAGCUAGGACAUGAACAGAAUGCACCCAAGCACUUUGCUAAGGUCACACAAUGUUAACGCCUUAGCAAAGAGCUUAGCUGCCUUCUGUUCAUGCCCUAGGAAUCUGUGGAAGUUUGAACUUGAGAGUGAUGAUUUAGGGUAUCUGGCAGAAGAAAUGUCUAAGCAGCAAAGUGAUCAAGAAGUGGUGUGGCUGCUUCUAGCCACUUAUAUUCAGAUGUGGGAGCAAAGACAAAAGGUAGAACUUAUAUUUAAAAGGGAAGCAGAGCAAAAAAAGUUUGGAAAAUUUGCAGCCUGGCCAUGUGGCAGAGAAAGAAAAAAGCUUUUUCAGUAGAGGAAUUCAAGCAGACUGUGGAACAAUUACUUGCUAGAGAUGUUUGCAGGAUUAAAGGGGAGCCAAGUGCUACUAUCCAAGACAAUAGGGAAAAAGCCUUGAAAGCAUUUCAAAGAACUUCAGAGUGGCUUCUCCCAUCACAGGCCCAGAAGCUUAGGAGGAGAGAAUAGAUUCAUGGACUGGGCCCAGGGCCAUGGUACCUUGCACAGCCUUGGGACACUGCUCACCACAUCCUAGCUGCUCCUGUUCCCACUCUUGCCAUGGCUCAAAGGGGCCUACAUACAGCUUGGACUGCCACUUUGGAGAAUGCAAACAGUAAACCUUGGUAGCUUUCAUGUGGUGUUAAGCCUGCAGGCACACAAAGUGCAAGAAUCGUGGAUUCUUGGCAGCCUCUGCCUAGAUUUCAGAGGACAUAUGGAAAAGUCUGUUUGUCCAGGCAGAAGCCUGUUACAGGGGUGGAGCCCUUACAAAGAACCUCUACUAGGGCAGUAUAGAGGGGAAAUGUGGGGUUGGAGGCUCCAACAGGGUCACCGCUGGGGCACUGCCUAAUGGAACUAUACGAAGUGGGCCACUGCCCUCCAGACCUAAGGAUGAUAGAUCUACCAGCAGCUUGUAUUCUGCACCUGGAAAAGCCACAGGCACUCAACUGCAGCCCAUGAGCGCAGCCUUGGAUUCUUUACCCUGCAAAGCCAUAGGGGCAGGACUGCUCAAGGCCUGGGGAGCCCACCCCUUGUACCAGUGUGGCCUGGAUGUGGAACAUGAUGUCGAAGAUUAUUUUGGAACUUUAAGAUUUAGUGACUUCCCUACUGGGUUUUGGAGCUGUGUGGAUCCUGUAGACCCUUUCUUUUGGCCAAUUUCCCCCUUUUUGGGAUGGAAACAUUUACCCAAUCCCUAUACCCCCAUUGUAUCUUGGAAGUAAAUAAUUUGUUUUUGAUUUUACAGGCUUAUAGGUGAAAGUGACUUCCCUUGUCUCCAAUGAGGCUUUGGACUUUGGACUUUUGAGUUAAUGCCAGAAUGAGUUAAGAUUUUGGGGGCCUAUUGGAAAGGCAUGAUUGUAGUUUGCAAUGUGAGAAGGACAUGAGAUUUGGAGAGGCCAGAGGUGGAAUGGUAUAGUUCAGAUAUUUGACCCAGCCCAAAUCUCUUGUUGAAUUGUAAUCCCCAAUGCUGGAGGUGGGGCCUUCCUUGUAUGAUGUGUUUGGAACAUGCAGGCAAAUUCCUCAUGGCUUGGUGCUGUUUUCAUGAUAGUGAGUGAGUUCUCCUGAGAUGUGGUCAUUUAAAAGUGUAUGGCACCUCCCCCCACUCUCUAUCUCUCUUGCUCCUGCUCUGCUAUAUGAG
This 3233-nucleotide long non-coding RNA is filed under the name Homo sapiens (human). Its description in RNAcentral is "non-protein coding USP46-AS1:14". The record is from RNAcentral. Lineage: Eukaryota; Metazoa; Chordata; Mammalia; Primates; Hominidae.